This 1486-nucleotide ribosomal RNA is filed under the name Lacticaseibacillus casei. RNAcentral's name for it is "bacterial SSU rRNA". It matches the Rfam family "Bacterial small subunit ribosomal RNA". The record is from RNAcentral. Lineage: Bacteria; Bacillati; Bacillota; Bacilli; Lactobacillales; Lactobacillaceae.
ACGCUGGCGGCGUGCCUAAUACAUGCAAGUCGAACGAGUUCUCGUUGAUGAUCGGUGCUUGCACCGAGAUUCAACAUGGAACGAGUGGCGGACGGGUGAGUAACACGUGGGUAACCUGCCCUUAAGUGGGGGAUAACAUUUGGAAACAGAUGCUAAUACCGCAUAGAUCCAAGAACCGCAUGGUUCUUGGCUGAAAGAUGGCGUAAGCUAUCGCUUUUGGAUGGACCCGCGGCGUAUUAGCUAGUUGGUGAGGUAAUGGCUCACCAAGGCGAUGAUACGUAGCCGAACUGAGAGGUUGAUCGGCCACAUUGGGACUGAGACACGGCCCAAACUCCUACGGGAGGCAGCAGUAGGGAAUCUUCCACAAUGGACGCAAGUCUGAUGGAGCAACGCCGCGUGAGUGAAGAAGGCUUUCGGGUCGUAAAACUCUGUUGUUGGAGAAGAAUGGUCGGCAGAGUAACUGUUGUCGGCGUGACGGUAUCCAACCAGAAAGCCACGGCUAACUACGUGCCAGCAGCCGCGGUAAUACGUAGGUGGCAAGCGUUAUCCGGAUUUAUUGGGCGUAAAGCGAGCGCAGGCGGUUUUUUAAGUCUGAUGUGAAAGCCCUCGGCUUAACCGAGGAAGCGCAUCGGAAACUGGGAAACUUGAGUGCAGAAGAGGACAGUGGAACUCCAUGUGUAGCGGUGAAAUGCGUAGAUAUAUGGAAGAACACCAGUGGCGAAGGCGGCUGUCUGGUCUGUAACUGACGCUGAGGCUCGAAAGCAUGGGUAGCGAACAGGAUUAGAUACCCUGGUAGUCCAUGCCGUAAACGAUGAAUGCUAGGUGUUGGAGGGUUUCCGCCCUUCAGUGCCGCAGCUAACGCAUUAAGCAUUCCGCCUGGGGAGUACGACCGCAAGGUUGAAACUCAAAGGAAUUGACGGGGGCCCGCACAAGCGGUGGAGCAUGUGGUUUAAUUCGAAGCAACGCGAAGAACCUUACCAGGUCUUGACAUCUUUUGAUCACCUGAGAGAUCAGGUUUCCCCUUCGGGGGCAAAAUGACAGGUGGUGCAUGGUUGUCGUCAGCUCGUGUCGUGAGAUGUUGGGUUAAGUCCCGCAACGAGCGCAACCCUUAUGACUAGUUGCCAGCAUUUAGUUGGGCACUCUAGUAAGACUGCCGGUGACAAACCGGAGGAAGGUGGGGAUGACGUCAAAUCAUCAUGCCCCUUAUGACCUGGGCUACACACGUGCUACAAUGGAUGGUACAACGAGUUGCGAGACCGCGAGGUCAAGCUAAUCUCUUAAAGCCAUUCUCAGUUCGGACUGUAGGCUGCAACUCGCCUACACGAAGUCGGAAUCGCUAGUAAUCGCGGAUCAGCACGCCGCGGUGAAUACGUUCCCGGGCCUUGUACACACCGCCCGUCACACCAUGAGAGUUUGUAACACCCGAAGCCGGUGGCGUAACCCUUUUAGGGAGCGAGCCGUCUAAGGUGGGACAAAUGAUUAGGGG